UGUUUUUUGAUUUGUUAUAAAAAAUAUAGUCUGCUCACUGAAGAAUUAAAGAGCUGCAAUAAUUUAAUUGUACAAAGGUAGCAUAAUCAUUUGUCUUUUAAUUGAGGACUGGAAUGAAGGAUAUGAUGUGAGAGUUAGUGUCUUUAUUUAAUAGAUUGAAAUUUAUUUUUUUGUUAAAAAGCAAAAAUAUUCUUAUUAGACGAGAAGACCCUAAUGAACUUUAUUUUUAUUUAUGAUUAAAUUAAUAACUGUUAAUUAAUUGAUAAAAAUUUUACUGGGGCGGUGUAAAGAAAUUAAGAAUCUCUUUUUUAAAAAAUUAUUUGAUAAUAUAUUUUAAUCCAAUAUGAUUGAGAAAUAAAAAGUUACCAUAGGGAUAACAGCGUAAUUUUUUUAUAGAGUUCUUAUCGAUAAUAAAGUUUGCGACCUCGAUGUUGGAUUAGGAGUUCUUUUUGGCGUAAAAGUUAAAAUAGAUAAUCUGUUCGAUUAUUAAUUUCCUACA
This 499-nucleotide ribosomal RNA is filed under the name Sphaerotheriidae sp. GG-2001. RNAcentral's name for it is "partial 16S ribosomal RNA". It matches the Rfam family "Bacterial large subunit ribosomal RNA", at positions 1862 to 2600 of the family's 2925-position model. The record is from RNAcentral. Lineage: Eukaryota; Metazoa; Arthropoda; Diplopoda; Sphaerotheriida; Sphaerotheriidae.